GACGAACGCUGGCGGCGUGCUUAACACAUGCAAGUCGAACGGAAAGGCCCUGCUUUUGUGGUGUUCUCGAGUGGCGAACGGGUGAGUAACACGUGAGUAACCUGCCCUUGACUUUGGUAUAACUUCAGGAAACUGGGGCUAAUACCGUAUAGGAGCUCCUGCUGCAUGGUGGGGGUUGGAAAGUUUCGGCGGUUGGGGAUGGACUCGCGGCUUAUCAGCUUGUUGGUGGGGUAGUGGCUUACCAAGGCUUUGACGGGUAGCCGGCAUGAGAGGGUGAACGGCCACAUUGGGACUGAGAUACGGACCAGACUCCUACGGGAGGCAGCAGUGGGGAAUAUUGCACAAUGGGCGGAAGCCUGAUGAAGAAACGCCGCGUGCGGGAUGACGGCCUUCGGGGUGUAAAAAGCUUUAGCCUGUGACGAAGCGUGAGUGACGGUAAUGGGUAAAGAAGCACCGGCUAACUACGUG
Molecule: ribosomal RNA, 468 nt
Filed under: uncultured bacterium
Lineage: Bacteria
Description: partial 16S ribosomal RNA
Rfam family: Bacterial small subunit ribosomal RNA
Source: RNAcentral